GAUGAAGAACGUAGCGAAAUGCGAUAAGUAGUGUGAAUUGCAGAAUUCCGUGAAUCAUCGAAUCUUUGAACGCACAUUGCGCCUUCUGGUAUUCCGGAAGGCAUGCCUGUUCGAGAGUCAUUAACAACCGUUUCGAUCCCUUUCUUUCAGAAAUUACAAAGAGGAAAAGGGUUUGGUUAUGGUGGAGGAGGGAAAGGGAGCGUUUAGCCUGUAAAAAAAGAGGCUGUGUUCCGCCUCCCCCCCAAAAUUGUACAGGCGGUCGUGUGCGCCCACGCAUCGAGGUGUUGUGAAAGCUGCCACGGCACUUUUCACCUGUGCAGUGCGAGAUUGGCCAGCCGGUUUAAAAACCCCUCCAAACAAUCAAAGGUUGACCUCGGAUCAGGUAGGGAUACCCGCUGAACUUAAGCAUAUCAAUAAGCGGAGGA
RNAcentral lists this unclassified non-coding RNA (425 nucleotides) under soil metagenome. Its description in RNAcentral is "partial contains 5.8S ribosomal RNA, internal transcribed spacer 2, and large subunit ribosomal RNA". The stretch from base 1 to 120 matches the Rfam family "5.8S ribosomal RNA", at positions 35 to 154 of the family's 154-position model. The record is from RNAcentral.